This 69-nucleotide transfer RNA is filed under the name Ichthyscopus lebeck (longnosed stargazer). RNAcentral's name for it is "tRNA-Glu". It matches the Rfam family "tRNA". From Rfam's summary of the family: Transfer RNA (tRNA) molecules are approximately 80 nucleotides in length. Lineage: Eukaryota; Metazoa; Chordata; Actinopteri; Uranoscopiformes; Uranoscopidae. RNAcentral also lists the same sequence under 1 other name. The record is from RNAcentral.
AUUAUUGUAGUUGAAGAACAACGGUGGCUUUUCGAGUCACGAGUCUUGGUUAAAGUCCGAGCAUUAAUA